Molecule: ribosomal RNA, 253 nt
Filed under: uncultured bacterium
Lineage: Bacteria
Description: partial 16S ribosomal RNA
Rfam family: Bacterial small subunit ribosomal RNA
Source: RNAcentral
UACAGGGGGGGCAAGCGUUGUUCGGAAUUACUGGGCGUAAAGGGCUCGUAGGUGGCCAACUUAGUCAGACGUGAAAUCCCUCAGCUUAACUGGGGAACUGCGUCUGAUACUGGAUGGCUUGAGUGCAGGAGAGGAACGCGGAAUUCCAGGUGUAGCGGUGAAAUGCGUAGAUAUCUGGAGGAACACCAGAGGCGAAGGCGGCUACCUGGACAAUUGCUGACGCUCAGGCACGAAAGCGUGGGGAGCAAAAGGG